GCUCUGAGGACAGCGGCUAUUGUAUGGCUGCUCGUAGGAUAAGGCUAAUCUUAUCAUGAACACACUACCCUCCUGAACGCUAUUCCACACUGUUUCUCCUCCCCCUACCAGACUACCUGAUGGACACUGGGGAGGAGGUUCAUUUGAACUGCACCUCAGCCAUGAAGAACAGUGGGCUCUAGGGCUGGCUGUGACUCCUGACCUGUCCUUGCCCUGCUCCAAUCUAGAAAUUCCUUACUUCUGAAAGGCCUUAGAUGUUUCAAGUCCUUGUAGAAGUUGCUGUAGAAGUCAGGCCAUCAUCUUUAGUCAAGGACUUUACUCCGUCAAUUUCUGCAGAAAAUGAACUUCCCACAGUCUCAAAGAUUAUUGCCUACAGAACAGGGUUUCUGUGUAGUCCUGGCUGUCCUGGAACUCCAAUGUAGGCCUCAAUCAGGCUAGCUUCAAACUCAUGUCCACCUGGUUUCAUCUUCCAAAUACUGGGAAUUAAAGUCAUGCA
Long non-coding RNA from Mastomys coucha (southern multimammate mouse), 496 nucleotides. RefSeq lists it as uncharacterized. Lineage: Eukaryota; Metazoa; Chordata; Mammalia; Rodentia; Muridae. The record is from RefSeq and is a predicted model, not a curated record. The transcript is spliced from 3 exons.